UGUCUCUUGUAACAAACAAGGUCCCUCAAAACUUAUAUACUUUCUGGUUAAAAAAAAAAAAAAAAAAACUCAUAUACUUACCCUAACGUAAAUGUUCCACUCCUCCGUUCCUAGGACCAAUCAUAGGCUACCAUCCGUUUGAACAAAAAUGUUACCUUCAAAGAAUCACAUUUCAAGUUUCAAAACUGAAGCAAAAAUAUGUCAGGGCAUCCCCAUCAUCUAUCACUUCAUAUCACAACAACCAUAGAUCAAAUUUUUUAAGAGUCAAAUCUAGACCAAAUAGGAAAAACAUUGUAACUGCAGAAGCCCCUAGCUUUACAAUUUGGCACCGAACUCAAACAAGCAUGUAGAUCCAUUACGAUCAAAUUUCCGCAAAGCUCAUCACUUCUCCUCGCUUCAAUGAGUCCGAGUAUGUUAAAACUAUAAUAUACAUGAUCGAAUUGGAAUUUCCUUCGUUUUACGACAAUGGCAGGAAACAUGAUUUUGACGUUUGCAUCAUGGAGGCUUUCUUUGUAUAAUUAAUCUCUAUUGUACUCAUAGAAAGAAAGAGUUUCGAGCAACCAUUAACCAAAGUUUUCAAGUAAAGUAUGACCAAAUAUAUGAAAUAUUAACUGCAC
Molecule: long non-coding RNA, 617 nt
Filed under: Olea europaea subsp. europaea
Lineage: Eukaryota; Viridiplantae; Streptophyta; Magnoliopsida; Lamiales; Oleaceae
Source: RNAcentral